RNAcentral lists this ribosomal RNA (818 nucleotides) under uncultured Bacillota bacterium. RNAcentral's name for it is "bacterial SSU rRNA". It matches the Rfam family "Bacterial small subunit ribosomal RNA", at positions 69 to 902 of the family's 1533-position model. Lineage: Bacteria; Bacillati; Bacillota. The record is from RNAcentral.
UAAAGCUCCCUUCGGGGAGUGCAUAAAGAGGCGCACGGGUGAGUAACACGUAAGUAAUCUACCCUCGGGUGGGGAAUAACGUCCGGAAACGGACGCUAAUACCGCAUAAUGCAGCGGCACCGCAAGGUGACAGUUGUUAAAGAUUUAUUGCCUGGGGAGGAGCUUGCGGCAGAUUAGCUAGUUGGUAAGGUAACGGCUUACCAAGGCUACGAUCUGUAUCCGGUCUAAGAGGACGGUCGGACACACUGACACUGAAUAACGGGUCAGACUCCUACGGGAGGCAGCAGUCGGGAAUUUUGGGCAAUGGGGGAAACCCUGACCCAGCAACGCCGCGUGAAGGAUGAAGUAUUUCGGUAUGUAAACUUCGAAAGAAUAGGAAGAAUUAAUGACGGUACUAUUUAUAAGGUCCGGCUAACUACGUGCCAGCAGCCGCGGUAAUACGUAGGGACCAAGCGUUGUUCGGAUUUACUGGGCGUAAAGGGCGCGUAGGCGGCGCGGUAAGUCACUUGUGAAAUCUCUGAGCUUAACUCAGAACGGCCAAGUGAUACUGCAGUGCUAGAGUGUGGAAGGGGCAAUCGGAAUUCUUGGUGUAGCGGUGAAAUGCGUAGAUAUCAAGAGGAACACCUGAGGUGAAGACGGGUUGCUGGGCCAACACUGACGCUGAGGCGCGAAAGCCAGGGGAGCAAACGGGAUUAGAUACCCCGGUAGUCCUGGCCCUAAACGAUGAAUACUUGGUGUCUGGAGUUUUAAUGCUCCGGGUGCCGUCGCUAACGUUUUUAGUAUUCCGCCUGGGGAGUACGCUCGCAAGAGUGAAACUC